RNAcentral lists this non-coding RNA (105 nucleotides) under Pontibaca methylaminivorans. Its description in RNAcentral is "TPP sequence". It matches the Rfam family "TPP riboswitch aptamer (THI element)". From Rfam's summary of the family: Vitamin B(1) in its active form thiamin pyrophosphate (TPP) is an essential coenzyme that is synthesised by coupling of pyrimidine and thiazole moieties in bacteria. The record is from Rfam by way of RNAcentral. Lineage: Bacteria; Pseudomonadati; Pseudomonadota; Alphaproteobacteria; Rhodobacterales; Roseobacteraceae.
GGUCCCGCCUCGGGGAGCCCGUCACGGGCUGAGACGCGCACCCUGCGCGGACCCGUUGAACCUGAACCAGGUCGUGCUGGCGGAGGGAAGGUCCGGGUUCAUCCA